GCCUUCGUGGUGUAACGGUAGCACACUCGGCGCAUAUUCGAGAGGUCCAGGUUCGAGUCCCAGCGAGAACA
RNAcentral lists this transfer RNA (71 nucleotides) under Stegodyphus mimosarum. It matches the Rfam family "tRNA". Rfam says of the family: Transfer RNA (tRNA) molecules are approximately 80 nucleotides in length. Their secondary structure includes four short double-helical elements and three loops (D, anti-codon, and T loops). The record is from Rfam by way of RNAcentral. Lineage: Eukaryota; Metazoa; Arthropoda; Arachnida; Araneae; Eresidae.